CGUCACGGAGCAACCCAUGGUUCUGGAGAAAACAGCGAGUCUUAUGCUAAAGGAAGCUGUUUCCUAUAUUGAAAGCCAGUGACUUCAUGUCAUCAUCAGAAGUUACCGAAAGUGAAGCGAUAAAGUUAAUGUUCAGGACAAUGCAGACACGCUGUCUUCCUUCUAUGGCCUUCAAGAAACCCUGGAGAGGACCAGUGAGGCUGCAGAUUCUUAAAAGAGCAUAGACAUUAAAAUUCUUGCAGAAUCUGAAUGUGUCUCCUGAGACAAGCAUCGUGAUAGAGUUCACAGUCUUAAAAGUCUGCAUUUUCAGGUGGGGCAAGGUGGCUCAUGCCUUUAAUCCCAGCAUUUUGGG
Molecule: long non-coding RNA, 352 nt
Filed under: Homo sapiens (human)
Lineage: Eukaryota; Metazoa; Chordata; Mammalia; Primates; Hominidae
Description: non-protein coding lnc-ARSE-1:1
Source: RNAcentral